Molecule: ribosomal RNA, 477 nt
Filed under: uncultured bacterium
Lineage: Bacteria
Description: bacterial SSU rRNA
Rfam family: Bacterial small subunit ribosomal RNA
Source: RNAcentral
UAAUUCGAUGCAACGCGAAGAACCUUACCUGGUCUUGACAUACAGAGAACUUUCCAGAGAUGGAUUGGUGCCUUCGGGAACUCUGAUACAGGUGCUGCAUGGCUGUCGCCAGCUCGUGUCGUGAGAUGUUGGGUUAAGUCCCGUAACGAGCGCAACCCUUAUCCUUAUUUGCCAGCACUUCGGGUGGGAACUAUAAGGAGACUGCCGGUGAUAAACCGGAGGAAGGCGGGGACGACGUCAAGUCAUCAUGGCCCUUACGACCAGGGCUACACACGUGCUACAAUGGGAAGGACAAAGGGUCGCUAAGCCGCGAGGUGGUGCUAAUCUCAUAAACCUUUUCGUAGUCCGGAUCGGAGUCUGCAACUCGACUCCGUGAAGUCGGAAUCGCUAGUAAUCGUGGAUCAGAACGCCACGGUGAAUACGUUCCCGGGUCUUGUACACACCGCCCGUCAUACCAUGGGAGUGGGUUGCACCAGA